This 376-nucleotide unclassified non-coding RNA is filed under the name uncultured Actinomycetes bacterium. Its description in RNAcentral is "uncultured actinobacterium contains 16S-23S intergenic spacer region". Lineage: Bacteria; Bacillati; Actinomycetota; Actinomycetes. The record is from RNAcentral.
UCCGAGUUGUCCCCGGCAGUCCUUUUAGAGUCCCCGGCAUUACCCGCUGGCAACUAAAAGCAGGGGUUGCGCUCGUUGCGGCACUUAAGCCAACACCUCACGGCACGAGCUGACGACAGCCAUGCAGCACCUGUGCUAGCCCCUUACGGACCCCCCAUCUCUGGAGGAUUUCCCUAUAUGUCAAACCCAGGUAAGGUUCUUCGCGUUGCAUCGAAUUAAGCCACAUGCUCCGCCGCUUGUGCGGGCCCCGUCAAUUCCUUUGAGUUUUAGCCUUGCGGCCGUACUCCCCAGGCGGGGUGCUUAAUGCGUUAGCUUCGGCACGGACGGGGUCGAUGUCCGCCCACACCUAGCACCCAACGUUUACGGCUAGGACUAC